This is a non-coding RNA of Echinostoma caproni, 45 nucleotides long. Lineage: Eukaryota; Metazoa; Platyhelminthes; Trematoda; Plagiorchiida; Echinostomatidae. The record is from Rfam.
GCAUUGCUGAUGAGACCAAACUAGGUCGAAACAGUUGUCCGGUGC